This 74-nucleotide transfer RNA is filed under the name candidate division CPR3 bacterium. RNAcentral's name for it is "tRNA-Val". It matches the Rfam family "tRNA". Rfam says of the family: Transfer RNA (tRNA) molecules are approximately 80 nucleotides in length. Their secondary structure includes four short double-helical elements and three loops (D, anti-codon, and T loops). Lineage: Bacteria; candidate division CPR3. The record is from RNAcentral.
GGGCGAUUAGCUCAGUUGGCUAGAGCGUCUCGUUUACACCGAGAAGGUCGGGGGUUCGAGCCCCUCAUCGCCCA